This 443-nucleotide ribosomal RNA is filed under the name uncultured bacterium. RNAcentral describes it as "partial 16S ribosomal RNA". It matches the Rfam family "Bacterial small subunit ribosomal RNA", at positions 338 to 795 of the family's 1533-position model. The record is from RNAcentral.
CCUACGGGAGGCUGCAGUGGGGAAUAUUGGGCAAUGGGCGCAAGCCUGACCCAGCAACGCCGCGUGAAGGAAGAAGGCUUUCGGGUUGUAAACUUCUUUUGGCAGGGACGAAGCAAGUGACGGUACCUGACGAAUAAGCCACGGCUAACUACGUGCCAGCAGCCGCGGUAAUACGGAGGUGGCAAGCGUUAUCCGGAUUUACUGGGUGUAAAGGGCGUGUAGGCGGGACUGCAAGUCAGAUGUGAAAACCACGGGCUCAACCUGUGGCCUGCAUUUGAAACUGUAGGUCUUGAGUACUGGAGAGGCAGACGGAAUUCCUGGUGUAGCGGUGAAAUGCGUAGAUAUUAGGAGGAACACCAGUGGCGAAGGCGGCUUACUGGACUGUGACUGACGUUGAGGCUCGAAAGCGUGGGGAGCAAACAGGAUUAGAUACCCCUGUAGUC